Molecule: ribosomal RNA, 611 nt
Filed under: uncultured bacterium
Lineage: Bacteria
Description: bacterial SSU rRNA
Rfam family: Bacterial small subunit ribosomal RNA (bases 1-533)
Source: RNAcentral
CCUACGGGAGGCAGCAGUAAGGAAUAUUGGACAAUGGGCGCAAGCCUGAUCCAGCCAUGCCGCGUGAAGGAUUAAGGCCCUCUGGGUUGUAAACUUCUUUUAUAGGGGACGAAAAAAGGGCUUUCUAGCUCGACUGACGGUACCCUAUGAAUAAGCACCGGCUAACUCCGUGCCAGCAGCCGCGGUAAUACGGAGGGUGCAAGCGUUAUCCGGAUUCACUGGGUUUAAAGGGUGCGUAGGCGGGCAGUUAAGUCAGUGGUGAAAUCUCUGGGCUCAACCCGGAAACUGCCAUUGAUACUAUCUGUCUUGAAUAUUGUGGAGGUGAGCGGAAUAUGUCAUGUAGCGGUGAAGUGCUUAGAUAUGACAUAGAACACCGAUUGCGUAGGCAGCUCGCUACACAUAUAUUGACGCUGAGGCACGAAAGCGUGGGGAUCAAACAGGAUUAGAUACCCUGGUAGUCCACGCCCUAAACUAUGAUUACUCGACAUUUGCGAUACACAGUAAGUGUCUGAGNGAAGANAUAAUAAUACACCAGGAGACGACCGACGAGUAGUAACGUACGAAGAAGUAGACGGACGUGAGAGNGCGACGGACGACGACGAGGGAGGAGG